Molecule: long non-coding RNA, 205 nt
Filed under: Nicotiana benthamiana
Lineage: Eukaryota; Viridiplantae; Streptophyta; Magnoliopsida; Solanales; Solanaceae
Description: long non-coding RNA (NBEN_LNC010971)
Source: RNAcentral
AGAAUACUUUUGAUCAGUUGGAGUCUUCCAGCAUAGGAUAAGACCUUGGAUGACCAGCAUCUAAUUCUGUCCACUAUCCUUUCAAUCAAAGCAAAGCAUUGUGUGAUUGUGAUCUUUUUUGUUGAUAAGGGAACUCUCAAGUAUUUUGAAAGGGAAUUUCCCUUCUGUUAGUUGAAAAUCUGCCGGUAACUUCUCUUUGACUUCC